Molecule: long non-coding RNA, 3537 nt
Filed under: Zea mays
Lineage: Eukaryota; Viridiplantae; Streptophyta; Magnoliopsida; Poales; Poaceae
Description: long non-coding RNA (ZMAY_LNC003024)
Source: RNAcentral
CUCUCUAUUUGAAUAACUGGACAAAGUAGAUAUUUGAGCUAAGUCGUGGCUGGUGUGGAUGUUGAGCAUGAAAGCCACGUAUGUUAGUCCCAGUUGUGCUGUCACCUUGGAACUUUUCACCACUAGGCUAGCUGAACCUGAAGACGUCUGCCUUCCUGCCCUUUAUUUAAGUGCUGGUUCGGUGAAGAUUUCCCUCUGCCCUGGUGUUCUAGCCAAAGCUUGCAGUGGUGUGAGGGAUUCAUGUGUAUUGCAAGCCAAAGCUCCUCUCCCACUGCCACCAAGUUGGCACUGUCCAGAGCUGUGUGCGCUGUCUUCCUGUGUUUGUGAUGACCACAACCACCAAGUUCACCCCACCAUAGCCAGAACAUUCUAGGGAGUUGCUGGCCUAUAUGAAGCUUGUUCCGUAAUCAUCUCAGGUCAGUGAAGCUCACAACAAUUACUACUUGAACUCUACCACUAUUGGUUGCCUGGAACUAGGUGUGAAAUUUAGUCUAAAACAGGGUUGUCAGAUUUCAGAUUUGGUGCAAAUUCAGAGUCUGAAUUUGUAUGUUUUGGGUGCAGCUUUGGAGCUCUUUGCUGCUCUAUCCAUAGAGUUAUAGCUUAUGGCCACUAUAACAAAGUUAUAGAUCUAUUAUAGGAGUACAAGUUUGAUUUAGUGAUCUGACCUAAAAACUAUACAGAACUGAUUGUAAACCUUGCUCAAAACUGGGCCAUCAACUUCUGGGUUUCAGACUUAGCUAAUUGGCUAAGUCUGAAUUUCAGUAAACUUUAGCCAUGUUUGUACCUUUGUAGUGGCUAACCUGUAGGGAAUUAAAUUAGGUCUCUUAUAGCAAAGCAAUAGAGCUAUAGUAGAAGACCAGGUUUGGUUGAAGGCCAUACCAUGUAAGCUAUUUGGAAUUGGAGAAAAAGGUUGGCUAAAGUUGGACCGUCAGACUGUACAUAACUGAAUUUUGUUAUUCAGUUCUAAGAAUUGAAUUACAACAGGAUGCCUAGUUUGGAAUUUAUUUGUGACUGAUUCGUGGGGUUUUGGAUUAAAGUUUCCAUAGCAAAUCUGGAUACCAUAGUAAAGAGAGUAAGUUUUGUAAAGUGAGGUGGACUUGGUUCCACAUAAAUUUGGAAAUAAAAGUGGCCAAAAGGUGGACUGUCAGGUGUUAGGAUUCAGACUUAGAAUAAUAUUUAAGUCUGAAUUUGUGUGUUUUUAUUCAGUUUUGGGUCCUUGUGGUAAUUAAUCCAAGAAGAAUUGGGGUAAGAAUGCUAUAGCAAAGUGAAAGACCAUGUAAAGGAGAGCAAGUGUCAUGCAAAGUGUUGGCUUGCUACUGUGUAGAAUUUGGAGAAAAAGGAGUGACAAAACUCUUUGUCAGACCUAGUAAUGUGCUGUUUCAGAUUGGGAAAAUGGAUUUUCCGUGUGUUUGCUCAACUUUAAUGCACCCUAACGCUUGGUAUGUAUGGUUAUAAGCUAAAGACCUUAUAGAAGAGAUUUGUAGUUGUGUUGGGUGAAUAAGUUUCUUACAGGGAAAUAAGUUUGGAGCUGUAUAAAAUUUAGAGUAAAAUGUGCAUAAAUUUCUUCUGUCAGUCUGUGUGAGAUGUCUGUUUCAGAAAACUGAAAACAAGUUUAGUGGAAGGUGGCUGAAUUUUGGACACCUUAACUUGUAGUACAUGCAGUUUGGGUCUUAGAUUCUUGUAACAAACUUGAAAAGCUUUAGUUAGUGAACAAGUUUGGUAUGGUCUGUCCCUAGCAGAAACAAGGAAAAAGUGGGGCUGAACAGGGACAUAUACAAUUGGGUAUUAGAGGUGGAUUCAGUGUCUGGUUGAUUGACUGAAGAAGAUCACUCUCUCCCUGUGUUUUGCGUGUGUAUGUGGGUGUAGUGCAGCUGUGGUGGCUGAUUUAGUAAACUAGUGUCUAUGGAGUAACUGAAGAAUCUCACCUCAUCCUUGUUGGUUGCCCUAUUAUGAUUGAGUUGUGAUAUUAGAAUAUUUAGCUCUCUUAAGGUUUUGUUAGUUUUUGUGUGCACCAUUAGAGAGGUGUAAGUCUUGCGAUGCUUCUUAGUAUUUUCUUUUCAAGUUGCAUAAGCAUAAACAUCCAUGAUCAUGUCAUUUCAUAUAGAACUCCUACCAGAAGGAGUGAAGAUUCAAGCUGAAGUGGUGACUGAAGAGGAAUCUACUCUAGUGGCUGCUGAUCAAGUGGAGGAGCCAUCUAACUGGGGUUAAUAGAGGGAUCGAGUACCUCUUCACUGCAAUAAGGCAAGCCCCGAUGCAUGCAACCCCUUCCUUGUGUUUUGAAAUGAUUUUUACACACUUUAAGUCUAGUGAAAUGUGCAUUAAGUUUAUAGGAAUUGUUUGAAAACUAUUUGAUGCAUCGACUACCUUGAUAUACAUUCAUGUUAUAGAUACUUCUGGUGAAGUAUCAAAUAUUGUUUACAAAAAUGCUUAGCCCCGCUUAGAUCUUGUGGAUAGAGGUUGUCCUUUGCAAUAAUGCCUAGCUCAGGGGUUAUCCUGAGAAAGGAUGACUUCUACCUGCAAGAAUAUUUUCAUUGGGAGCAUGGUGGAAUCUUACUACAAAGUUCCCUAUAGUGCUCUGUUCAUCCUUAGAAACAUAAAACAAUCCUAAGGGUGGAAGUACUUAACUCGAGACUUGGGUUAGGAACAGGUGAUGCUCCACCCAAGUUAAUUAAGGAUUGGAUGCGUAUGUAGGCCUGUAUGAUCAAGGACUAUCUUAACUAACCACAUGCCCUGGAUAUGGGACAGGGUAAGCUUGAACCCGGCUAUUCCAUACAUGAAAAGACAAUCGCGCACUGGGAGUGGAGAGAUGGCGAGAGUGGCACGUACCCUCCUGGCAAAGGACCGCCUAAAAGGGGUUGUGUGCUCUCGGGUGGCACUGACCUGUUCAUGUAGUGGAGGAUCCGUGGGAAUGGUAGACAUAUGCAAAAGUUACGAGAAACAUAUGUCGUGUGGUUAGAGAUCCUCAGCUGAGGAAAUCGAUUCGGAUCGCCGUUAUAUCCCCGGAGAGUGGAGACUUGAUCUCCGACCUACAACCUAAGUCAGGAUGCAAACAUUAUGAAUAAAAAUGAUGUUGUAUUGAUGAGAUGGUGAAAUUAGACUAGAUGCAACCAGAGUCUAUUAAUAUUUAAUCUGGCGUUAAAAUAUUGAAAGUAAGGACUCACUUUAGUAAGCUAUUUCUGCAAAAGUAUCUAAGUUUUUUCUUGCUAAAGCCUUUUUCUUGAUUCCUAUUUAACCAGCAUAUCCUUGAGAGUCAUUUUUCCUUAGUCGGGUAAGACUUGCGAAAGUACACUUCGUACUCAGGGUUUUCGAACCCAUGUUGUUGUAGGUGAUGAGGAGUACUCUAGGUGUUCCUGUGGCUGGAGGGCGUUUCUAGUUCUGAAGGAAGAUUAGUUAGUCUUGUGUAUAAGCUUUGGAGGGUUCCUACCUUCCUGCUAAUGUAAUAAGUUAUGCACUUUGAGUAUAUUAGGACUUGUAAUAAAUGUAACUCUUCCUAUGUAAUAAACUUCAAUUUUAGAAAUGAAAAGAAUGUUUUAUAAA